Molecule: ribosomal RNA, 429 nt
Filed under: Chloroflexota bacterium
Lineage: Bacteria; Bacillati; Chloroflexota
Description: Chloroflexi bacterium partial 16S ribosomal RNA
Rfam family: Bacterial small subunit ribosomal RNA
Source: RNAcentral
UGGGGAAUAUUGCACAAUGGGCGCAAGCCUGAUGCAGCCAUGCCGCGUGUAUGAAGAAGGCCUUCUGGUUGUAAAGUACUUUCAGUCGGGAGGAAGGUGGUAAGGUUAAUAACCUUAUCAAUUGACGUUACCGACAGAAGAAGCACCGGCUAACUCCGUGCCAGCAGCCGCGGUAAUACGGAGGGUGCAAGCGUUAAUCGGAAUUACUGGGCGUAAAGCGCACGCAGGCGGUUGAUUGAGUCAGAUGUGAAAUCCCCGGGCUCAACCUGGGAACUGCAUCUGAUACUGGCAAGCUUGAGUCUCGUAGAGGGGGGUAGAAUUCCAGGUGUAGCGGUGAAAUGCGUAGAGAUCUGGAGGAAUACCGGUGGCGAAGGCGGCCCCCUGGACGAAGACUGACGCUCAGGUGCGAAAGCGUGGGGAGCAAACAGG